ACUUACGAAUUGUUUAUUUGUGGAAUUUUCCGUUUGUUUUCAGACCACCAUACUGAAACUGUGGAAAGCUGCCGUGGCUAAGCAGGAACUGCUGUACAUAUUUAUUAAGCCCUUACUGUAUGCUGGGCAUUCACUCUUACUGUAGGCAGGCAUUCGCUCACUGAGCCUCUGAGUCAGCCCUGUGAGCUGAGUUUCUAUUUUACGGCGAGGAAACAGGCAGGCUCGGAAGGGUUAAGCCACGUGCCCAGUCCCAGUAGCCUAGCCGUGUGGCCCGGGGCCCCUCGGUGGUCUUGCCAGGGUGUGGGAUGCCUUUAAACCCACACAUCUGGGAUUGAAUCACAGCUCCGUCACUUCCCGGCUCUGAGAACCUGGGCAUGAGAUUUGAUUGUCUGAGCGUCAGUCUCCCUCUCUGUCAAAUAGGUAGCAGUACCUGCGGGUUGCGCGAUUCUGAGUUACCUCGGGGGAGUUUUCCUGGAGGAGGCCUCUUUACUUCUUCCUGAGCCUUUGGGGGCCCCCCACUAGGCAGGAGGGAAGAUCAGCCCUGCAGGUCAUCUGCUUCCUGGGGCUGGGCCUUGGGCCCUAAGGACGGUGGCGGUCCCCCACAAAGUGAUGAACUCAGCAGGGCUUUCUGCCUAGGCUCAUGGGGCUUUGAAGUUGGAAGGAAAGCGGCCUGGUCUGGGCUGUUUUUCCCAGCCUCCUCCUCCUCUGCCUCUCUGUCCCCCGUCCAUCGGCGUCUCCGUCUCCGGCCUAAUGGGGAGCCUUCCUCCUGUGGCUGAGUUAUCUGCUUGUCAUGCCAGUGGCCCACCCGAGGACGAUAAAAGGGCUUUUUGUCUGCAAGCACUUAGCUUCCUCUGCCGGGGCGAUCCAUCACAUCUGAGGGAGGCCGGGAAGGCAGACAGACGGUGGAGUGGGGCCUCCUCCUCCCCUGCUGAGGGAACCUGAUGCUCCCAGGAGCCCCCUUGCAGGACCCAAGUGGCUCCUCAGCCCGAAGGCAAGGCCUGUCUGGGGGCCAGCAGGGGUGAGUGGGAGUGGGGCCAUGGGGGCACAUUGAGGCAGGCAGAUGCUCUGCACUCCCCUGACAGAGGACAGACGCUGCCCGGAUGCCCUGCCCCACCACACCCACUUGGCAGCUCUGUGGGGCCCCUCUGGGACCCUCCAUGCUGGAGAGGGUGGGUGGGGGGUGCAGCCUUUUCUGAGUAAGAACCGUGAUGGUAGAAGGGGGCAUGGGGGAGACAAGGGGGGACAGACCUCAGGGCCGACACUCGCUAUGCGUGCACUAAGCACUUUGUGGAAUUACCUCCUUAAAUCUCAGGGCGACCCUGGAGGUGGGCACCGUCCUUAUCCCCAUUCUCCAGAUGAGGAAACUGAGGUACAGGGAGGCGAUGUGGCAUCCCCAGGGUGCAGCAGCAGAGGGAGGGCUUGGCUCCAGGCUCCCAGCGGUACACUCUUCCCUGCGGACCUAGGACCUUAGAAGGGGGCUGUGGGAGCCCCUGGCCCCAAAAGUGGGUUGCCCGUGACUCGAAACUCUGUGAGUGGAUUCUUCAGCUGGGAGUGGGGUGGGGAGGUGGGUGUCUGGGAUUGUCUAUACAUUGGGGUGAGGGGUCCGGUGUGGGUGGGGGCUGGGGUCUCGGGGUACCCUGGGCGGGUGAUCGGGGACACCGAAGGUGUGUAGGGGGAGGUUUUAGGGCCCUGGCCCGGUGGGAUCUCACCUCUCGGGGGCUCUGGGAGGACCGGCUUUAACCCCAGUUGGACGGGGCCCUGGGCCCUGCUUGGGUGGGGAGGAGAGCAAUUCAGGGCCCCCUGCCCUUCCCUGUCUGCGCCACCACCCUUCCCUCUCUGCCAUCCUCCUCUCUCUCCUUCCCAGCCUGGAUGCUCAGCCCUGGGCGGGGGCUCCCUGCAAUCCCUUCCUCCCCUCCCCCUUCCUUCCUGCUCCCUACCCCUCCUUCUCCUCCCUCCUUCUCCCCACAGGCCACCCUCAAAUGACAGCAAUUAAUGGUGCCUGUGAUGGCGGGCUGAGAGGAGGAGGCUGACAGUUGAGCGUGUCUGCCUGCGGCCGCCCGCUAAUCGGGCCCGGGGGAUGCCCCUCCUGCCGUUGGCUCCAGGCGCCUGCCCUGCCAUCACUCAGAGGGGAGCAGGAGCCCUGGACAGGCCUGUGGGAGCUGGUGCAGAGCCCCCAUCCCUGCAGCCCCCUCCCUGUCCUUCUAUUAUUAUUAUCAUUUUCUUUCAUAAACGGGUGGGCUCUGGCUGGACUGUUGUUCAGCAUGAGUUGGUGGAUGCCUCCCAGACGUCCUUCUCCUGAAAUGACCUCUCAUGUGCCUGUGUUGUCCUCAGGGCCAGCCAUCCCCACAGGGCCCCAUCCUUUUGUCCCUGCUUCCCUGGGAGAGGCGGGUUGGGUGGAGCCCAGGAACCGUGUCCUGUCCGGACAGCAGGCAUCAGUUAAAUGCCCCGGCCUGAGUCCUCGGGGCCUGGGGGCAGCUAUUUGAGCCCAGAGCCUUGUCUGGUGGGGUGAGGAAGUGUGUUGUGUUUGUCAGGGUUACAAGAAUCCUGGCCAGCUCUGUCCACAGUGGGCCUGGGCUUGACCAUUUAUCACCUGGCAGCAGCAAUAAUGAAGCCCCUGCUGUAUGCUGGGGCCUGCAGCUGGUAUGUUCACUUUGGUUCAUUUUACUUGGCAGUUUUCUGAGGAGUGUGGUAUUUCUCACCUUGCUUUUGUAGAGGGGGAGACUGAGGGGCAGAGAGGCAAAGCGAUUUGCCCUAAGGGGCACAGUGCCCUACGUGACCUAGCUAGCAUAGGACAAAGCUGGGGUUCAACCCAGACCCAAACUGUCCAAUGCUCAUACAUCAGGGGACUUUGGGAAACUUGAGGGCCAGUUUAGGAACCAGCAGACUGAUUUAGAAGUGAGGAAAUAGUCCCUGGGUACUGGGAAUGGAGUGAGUAGUGUUAAUAUAUGCAUCUCUCUCCCUGUUCCACUUAAGAUCAUCUUCAUUGAGAUGUAAUUAACCUAUAAUGAUGCACCCAUUUUAAGGGUUCAAUUGCAUGUGUUUUGACAAAUGUAAACAUUUGCAUCACCUCCACAAUCAGAAUAAAGUGUUUCUGUUCCCCCCAAAUCCCCACCAGUCCCUUGGCACUAAAUCUCUAGCACCCACCUCCACCCCCCACCCCCGACUAGAGGUACCCACUGAUCUGCUGUUAUAGAAGCUUUUAACUCUUCUAGAAUUUUAUAAUAAAAUUAUCAUUUUAUUAUAUACUAUACUUUGUUGUGUCUGGCUUCUUUCACUCUGCAUAACCCAUGUUGCUCAUGUAUCAAUUCAUUCUUUCUCAUGGCUAAGUAGUAUUUCAUUCUGUGGAUAUAUUACAGUUUAUCCAUUCAUCAGUUGAUGGACAUCAAAGUUUCCAGUUUUUGGCUAUUGGGAAUAAAGCUGCUCUGAACAUUCUUGUGUAAGUCUUUGUGUGAACAUGUUUUCUUUUUUCUUAUGUGAAUAUCUAGGCAUUGGGUUGCUAGGUCACAUGGUAAAUGUGUUAUUUUAGUUUAUAAGAAACCACCAGCUGUUUUCUAAAGUGGCUGUCCCAUUUUGCAUGCCCACCUGCAGUGGAUGAGAGUUCCAGUUGCUCCCCAUCCUUGUCAGCACUUGCUACUGUCAAUCUUUUAAUGUUAGCCGUUCCAGGAGACCCUAAUGCACAUGCGAUUACAUUUUUCAGCUUUUGCUGCCUUUUGGGCAAAGCUGUGGUUCUGUGUUUUGAUUUUAUGUGUCUGGCCAGCUGGUGGGAGUCUAAAGGAUGGUGGGAGAUAAUCUCGUGUCUGCCAACGCUAGCUCUGUGUUUUCCUUUCUAGUCUUUAUGCUGCUGACUGACUGCUUCUCGUCCGGCUGCAGUGGUUGAGACCACAGUGCAGUGCCGGAUUGCACCAGUUGGGUUGUUUGGGGUUAGUUAGCUGUGAGUGUUGUUAUUUAUUUUUUUAUUUUUUAUUUUUUUUGAGACAGAGUCUUGCUCUGUCGCCCAGGCUGGAGUGCCAUGGCAUGAUCUUGGCUCACUGCAACCUCCGCCUCCCGGGUUCAAGCGAUUCUCCUGCCUCAACCUCCCAAGUAGCUGGGAUUACAGGCAUGCGCCACCACAUCUGGCUAGUUUUUGUAUUUUUUUUUUUUAGUAGAGACGGGGUUUUGCCAUGUUGGCCAGGCUGUUCUUGAACUCCUGACCUCAGGUCAUCCACUUACUUUGGCCUCCCAAAGUGCUAGGAUUAGUGAGUGUUUUUUUUUUUUUUUUUUUUUUUGAGUCGGAGUUUCGCUCUUAUCGUGCAGGCUGGAGUGCAAUGGCACGAUCUCGGCUCACUGCAACCUCCGCCUCCCGGGUUCAAGCAAUUCUCCUGCCUCAGCCUCCCUAGAAGCUGGGAUUAUAGGCAUGCGCCACCACGCCUGGCUAAUUUUGUAUUUUUAGUAGAGACGGGGUUUCUCUGUGUUGGCCAGGCUGGUCUCGAAUUCCCGACCUCUGGAGGGCGAGAUGGGAAGGACACGGACGGGGGCAGAUGACCUCAGUGCAAAGUCCCAGGGAUCCAGGUGGACCCGUCUUUAUGCUGCAGUUGGGUUUGUAAACCUACUGGAGCUUCGAAGUGGGAGCACCCCAUGGCAGUGACAGCAGCAGUCCUAACAGGGUUUGUGAUCGUCCUUGUGUCACACUUCACAUGUUAUAAUUUAUUUAAUUGACUGGGCACAGUGGCUCACGUCUGUAACAUUGCCUGUGCCUUCGAGUUUAGUAUCCAGAGGGGGAGUGUCAGUUAAACAAGCAAGUGCUAUCGCGGGUGGUGAGGGUUGUGAGGACGAGGUUCAGGCAUUCACCUGGGUGAGGCAAGAGCUGAAUUAGUCUUCCAUCAGGCCAGGCGUCCAGGGACGAGUCAUUCAAGGGGAGACCUGGGGGUGAUUAGUUAGGGGCAGUUAGUUAGGGCUCCUGAGUUGUGGCAGAGACACACUCGAGCCGAGUUAGGCUAUGACGGGGA
RNAcentral lists this long non-coding RNA (4985 nucleotides) under Homo sapiens (human). RNAcentral describes it as "non-protein coding lnc-SCARB1-4:1". Lineage: Eukaryota; Metazoa; Chordata; Mammalia; Primates; Hominidae. The record is from RNAcentral.